RNAcentral lists this ribosomal RNA (143 nucleotides) under Anisoptera thurifera subsp. polyandra. Its description in RNAcentral is "5.8S ribosomal RNA". It matches the Rfam family "5.8S ribosomal RNA". Rfam says of the family: 5.8S ribosomal RNA (5.8S rRNA) is a component of the large subunit of the eukaryotic ribosome. Lineage: Eukaryota; Viridiplantae; Streptophyta; Magnoliopsida; Malvales; Dipterocarpaceae. The record is from RNAcentral.
CGACUCUCGGCAACGGAUAUCUCGGCUCUCGCAUCGAUGAAGAACGUAGCGAAAUGCUGCAGAAUCCCGUGAACCAUCGAGUCUUUGAACGCAAGUUGCGCCCCAAGCCGUCAGGCCGAGGGCACGCCUGCCUGGGCGUCACG